UUCAAAAACUACUGUAAGUCGCUCUGGAUAAGAGCGUCAGCUAAAUGUAAAAAA
Non-coding RNA from Salmo salar (Atlantic salmon), 54 nucleotides. The record is from Rfam. NCBI's taxonomy places the organism in Eukaryota, Metazoa, Chordata, Actinopteri, Salmoniformes, Salmonidae.